GCUAAUACCGACACAGGAGCGGUGUAAAUAAGGAGGGUUCAAUCGUGUUCCGUUGUUAUUGGGUUUCAAGGGUCCAUGAGCGGAUCUAUAAGUCAGUGGUGAAAUCUCACAGCUUAACAGUGAGACUGCCGGUGAGUCUGUAGGUCUUAAGUAAAUUUGAAGUGGCUGGAAUAAGUAGUGUAGCGGUGAAAUGCAUAGAUAUUACUUAGAACACCAAUUGCGAAGGCAGGUCACUAAGAUUUAACUGACGCUGAGGGACGAAAGCAUGGGGAGCGAACAGGAUUAGAUACCCGAGUAGUC
Molecule: ribosomal RNA, 300 nt
Filed under: uncultured Haloarcula sp.
Lineage: Archaea; Methanobacteriati; Methanobacteriota; Halobacteria; Halobacteriales; Haloarculaceae
Description: bacterial SSU rRNA
Rfam family: Bacterial small subunit ribosomal RNA
Source: RNAcentral